GGCCCAAUGGUCUAGGGGUAAGAUACUUGCUUUGGGUAAAUCACCUGCCUGCAAGGGAUCCUGGGUUCAAAUCCCAGUUGGGCCC
Abortiporus biennis is the source of this 85-nucleotide non-coding RNA. The record is from the annotation of a GenBank genome assembly. Lineage: Eukaryota; Fungi; Basidiomycota; Agaricomycetes; Polyporales; Podoscyphaceae.